Molecule: ribosomal RNA, 253 nt
Filed under: uncultured bacterium
Lineage: Bacteria
Description: partial 16S ribosomal RNA
Rfam family: Bacterial small subunit ribosomal RNA
Source: RNAcentral
UACGGGGGGGGCAAGCGUUGUUCGGAAUUACUGGGCGUAAAGGGCUCGUAGGCGGCCAACUAAGUCAGACGUGAAAUCCCUCGGCUUAACCGGGGAACUGCGUCUGAUACUGGAUGGCUGGAGUUUGGGAGAGGGAUGCGGAAUUCCAGGUGUAGCGGUGAAAUGCGUAGAUAUCUGGAGGAACACCGGUGGCGAAGGCGACAUCCUGGACCGGUAUUGACGCUGAGGCGCGAAAGCCAGGGGAGCAAACGGG